This 4083-nucleotide ribosomal RNA is filed under the name Triticum aestivum (bread wheat). RNAcentral describes it as "partial small subunit ribosomal RNA". The record is from RNAcentral. Lineage: Eukaryota; Viridiplantae; Streptophyta; Magnoliopsida; Poales; Poaceae.
AUGGAGGCGCUGGUGGCCACCGCGGUCGGGCCACUGGUUUCCUUGCUGAUGAAAAAGGCGUCCAACUCCCUCCUUGAGAAGUACAAGGUGAUGGAGGGAAUGGAGGAGCAGCACAGGAUUCUCAAACGCAAACUUCCGGCCAUCCUCGACGUCAUCAGCGACGCCGAGGAGCAGGCGACGGCCCACAAGGAAGGGGCAAAAGCCUGGCUCCAGGAGCUCAAGACAGUGGCUUAUCAGGCAAGUGAAGUCUUUGAUGAAUUCAAGUACGAAGCACUCCGCCGUGAAGCCAAGAAGAAUGGGCACCUCACCAAACUUGGCUUUGAUGUGAUAAAACUCCUCCCUACUCACAACCGCAUUGUAUUCCGUAUCAGAAUGGGUCCCAAGCUUCGUCAUAUUCUGCAGUCCAUUGAGGCCCUCAUAACAGAGAUGCAGCGCCUUCGGUUCAACUAUCAACCACAGCCGCCGGUGUCCAAGUUGUGCAGGCAGACAGAUUAUGUUAUCAUCGACCCACAAGAAAUUGCCAGUAGAUCCAGAGACAAAGAUAAGAAGAAGAUUGUUGAUACACUACUUGGUCAAGCUGGAAAUGCAGAUCUCGCAGUUGUUCCCAUCAUUGGAAUGGGGGGCCUUGGCAAGACCACAUUAGCGCAGCUCAUAUACAAUGACACUAAAAUUAAGGAGCAUUUCCAGUUGCGGCUCUGGGUCUGUGUCUCUGGUACCUAUGAUGUGAACUCCCUGGCUAAGAGUAUAGUUGAAGCAUCUCACCAAAAGAACGAUAAUAUAGAUAUACCCCCACUGGAUAGACUUCAAAAAUUCAUCAAGGGGCAGAGAUAUCUCCUUGUAUUAGAUGAUGUCUGGGACAGAGAGGUCCAUAAGUGGGAAAGUUUGAAGGGUUGUUUGCAGUAUGGUGGCAUGGGUAGUGCAGUAUUGACAACAACUCGUGAUAAACAAGUUGCUGAAAUUGUGGAUGCAGAUAGAUCCUACAAUCUCAGUCCUUUGGAGGACAGAUUCUUAAAGGAAAUUAUUGAGGCUAGAGCAUUCAAUUCGAAGAAAGAAAAGGCUCCUGAGCUAGUCGAGAUGGUUGAUCAGAUUGUGAACAGAUGUCGUGGCUCUCCUUUAGCCGCAUGUUUGCUGGGCUCUGUACUCCGUACCAAGACCACGGUGAAAGAAUGGAAGGCCAUAGCAUCUAGAAGCAGCAUUUGCACUGAGGAAACUAGAAUCUUGCCAAUACUCAAGCUUAGCUACAACGACCUGCCAUCACACAUGAAGCAGUGCUUUGCUUUUUGUGCUAUAUUUCCCAAGAAUUACAAGAUUGAUGUGGAGAAGCUGAUUCGAUUAUGGAUCGCAAAUGGCUUUAUCCCAGAACAGGAAGAAGAUAGUCUUGAAACAAUUGGAGAACAUAUUUUCAAUGAGCUUGCCUCGAGGUCAUUUUUUAUGGACAUAGAGAAAAGUAAAGAUGUCUCAUGGUAUUAUUCCAUGACUACAUGCAAAAUCCAUGAUCUCAUGCAUGAUAUUGCAAUGUCUGUUAUGGGAAAGGAAUGUGUUGUUGUUGCAACUAAGGAACAAUGUCAAACCAAGUGGCUUCCAGAUACUGCUCGGCAUUUAUUUUUGCUAGGUGAAGAAACAAAUGGUAUUUUAAAUGAUUCUAUGGAGAAAAGAUUCCCUGCUAUCCAAACACUUCUAUCCGAUAGUUUUGUGCAAAUCUCAAAAUACAACUCUUUGCAUGCCUUGAAGCUCUGUAUAGAUGUCAAAUUACUUCUUGUGAAACCAUUAGGGACAACAUCAUAUCUACUGAAAUCAAAGUAUCUGCAUCAUCUAAGGUACCUCGAUCUCUCAGAAAGUUGUAUCGACACACUUCCUGAAGGUAUAAGUAUUCUAUAUAACCUGCAAGUGCUGGACCUUUCCUACUGUUAUUAUCUUGACCGACUUCCGAGGCAAAUGAAGUAUAUGACUUCCCUCCGUCACCUAUACACUCAUGGAUGUGAGAACUUGAAGAGCAUGCCUCCAGGACUUGGAAAACUCACUAGGCUGCAGACUCUUACAUGUUUUGUGGCAGCAGUUACGAGCCCUGAUUGUAGUGAUAUUGCAGAGCUGCAUGAUUUAAAUCUUGGUGGUCAUCUAGAGCUACGCCACUUAGAGACUGUUGAAAAUGCAGAAGCAGAAGUAGCAAGCCUCGGAAACAAGAAGGAUCUUAGAGAACUAACAUUAAGAUGGGCUUCUGUUUGUGACAGAAAGGUGCUCGACAAUUUCAAACCUCAUGAUGGGCUGCAGGUUCUGAGGACGUAUUCCUAUGGAGGAGAGUGCAUGGGCAUGUUGCAAAACAUGGUUGAGAUCCAUCUUUUUCAUUGUGAAAGAUUGCAGUUUUUGUUCAGAUGCGGUACAUCCUUCACUUUUCCAAAGCUGAAGGUGCUUAUGCUAGAACAUAUGUUGGAUCUUGAGAGAUGGUGGGAAAUAAAUGGGAUGCAAGAGGAACAAAUAAUAUUUCCUCUGCUUGAGAAGUUGUCUAUUGGGCAUUGUGGAAAGUUGAUAGCAUUACCUGAGGCACCAUUUCUUCAAACACCGUUUCUUCAAGAAGCAUGUAGUGCAGACACUAGACUGGCGCGUUCACCAUUUCCUGCCCUGAAGGUACUUGAAUUGAAAGAGUUAGCGAGCUUUCAGAGAUGGGGUGCAGUUGAAGAGACUCGAGAACAGAUAUUGUUUCCUCAGCUUGAGAAAUUAUCAAUUCAAAGAUGUCCAGAGCUGAUAGAUUUACCUGAAGCACCAAAACUCAUUAUAUUAGAGAUUGAAUAUGUCAAGCAAGAGAUCUUCCAUUGGGUAGACAGAUAUCUGUGUUCAUUGACCCAGCUGACACUGAGGCUGUACACAGGAAGAACAUCAGAGGUGGACAAGGAGAAAUGGAAUAAGAUAUCCCCUAUCACAUUUAUGAACUUAGCAUUAGACUGUUGGAGCCCAUUCUUUGGAUCAGGUGCACUAGAGUCUUGGGACAAUUUUGUACAUCUUCAAACUUUGGAAAUUAUUGGAUGUGAUGUGCUUGUCCACUGGCCAGAGAAAGUGUUGCAAAGCUUGCUAUCCUUGAGGAAAUUGAAGAUUGUAACCUGCAGAAAUCUUACUGGAUAUACAGAAGCUCCUCUUGAGUCAUCAAAAUCUGAAAGGAGUCAACAACUGCCAAGUCUGGAGUCUCUUGAGUUGAAAUUUUGUGCAAAUUUGGUAGAGAUGUUUGAUGUCCCGGCAUCUCUCAAGAGAAUGAAUAUUUCUGAGUGCAGUAAGCUUGAGUACAUAUUUGGCAAGCAGCAGGGCAUGUCAGAGUUAUUCCAAGGGUCUUCUUGCGAUGAGGCAAUCAUGCCUGCAGCUGUAUCAGAGUCCAUGAAUCAUUUUUGCCCAUGCCUAGAAGAUCUAGAGUUACUUGAUUGUGAUAGUUUACCAGCGGUUCUACAUCUCCCUCCAUCCUUAGAGACAAUCUUUAUUGCUAGGUGCAGUAGUAUUCAAGUGCUGACAUGUCAGCUAGAUGGGCUCCAGAAACCACAAGUCACUGCAUCCACGAAUGUACCAGAGCUGCCGGCAGUAGCAGCAAGAGAGCAUUCGUUUCCUCCUCGUCUCGAUUCUUUAAAGAUAUACUCCUGUGAUAGCAUGCUAGGGGGGAUUCUCCGUCUGCCCAUGUCCCUCAAGCAUCUGGACCUUUUUAGGAGCAAUGGGUGGAUAUCGUUGGAGCCUCUGUCGGCAGAGCACCCCCCAUCAUUGGAAUCCCUUUUGCUUGAAAGCUGUAGGACCCUGGCAUCCCUGCCGAAUGAACCACAAGCAUACAGGUCUCUCCGAUACCUUCGUAUUAAAGGCUGUGCUGCUCUAAAGAAGCUCCCUGGAUGCCUGCAGCAGCGACUGGGCAGCAUUUACUUCAAACAAAUAGCAGCACGUUAUGAAGUGACGGAAUUUAAUCCAUUUAAGCCAAAGACAUGGAAGGAAAUACCAAGAGUUGUCCGUGAGUGGAGGCAGCCUGCUGAAACCGAUGAUCCUGAAUCUCCCACUGACUUAGAGGGUAUGCUAGAAGCUAUUAUACCGAAGAUACUUUUGCAGACAGAGCUAGGCCGCUAG